GUUUCAAACAGAAUACCACAAACAGCAGGCAUUCCUUUAGAAAUAAACAGGGAUUCUUAAUUCUGCAACAUUUAGACAGAGGGGGGGGGGUUACAGUUAGACCCCCUACAGUCAGCAGAAGAGGUCAUCCUUAUCAAGAGCAUCUCAAUUGUACUGCCAUAGUUUUCAAUACAAACAGUCUCCUUUAUCUUAUGCCAGGUCCAUCGGAGCCACCAUAGCUUUUUCACCUUUUAUCAUACCAUUACACUUUCUACUGACCAUCCUCCAAACAGGCAUCGCCUUUUGUUUACACCUUUAUCUCUGCAUCUCAGAGGCCAGCUGGAAACAAGCCCCACACCUAUAUAAAAAAACGCCCUAAUCAAACACCCUGUAUUUUUCCUCACUACUUUACAUCGGUCAUUGAGAGCAUAACACUUCGUUCACCAGCAAGGACAACAACCCUAAGAGCGUUCUUUUUAACAUGGACAGCAUAUAUGGUAGGUAAAACAAGACUAUUAACGGAUUCUUAAAUUUAUACAAUUGCAUAUCAAAAAAUAUUCAAACUGUUUUCUCUUCUAAACAAAAGCCUGAUUUUUAGGAACUUGGUACACUGGGACACCCCACGCGGCACUUACACAAGGAUCACAAAGCUAUAUAGGGCAAACAACACCUCUAACUAAGGAGUGCAGGAUGACGUCGGCAUCAACCAUGACGAACAGCCAGAACAUCGCCCAAGCCACAGAAGCUCUAGAGCGAGACAUGCAAGCGUGGGACCUCUCAGACUCCCCACCGCCUGCGCUGCUAAUCCAGACCCCACCACAUCCUCCCCCCUCUCCUCAGCUGCUGCAGGAUCCUACAGGAUCGGGUCUGUGUGAGGAAACCAUUAUCGACAUCAAGCUUGCAACCCAUCACCUGGUGAUGUUGGCAUUAAACGCCUUUCUACAGGAAACAUGCGGGUGUCGAACAGCUCAACCCAGUCAGGUGCAACACAGUUGUUUGCUCGAACUGCCCGAGUAUUACUUUGACACCUACUACGACGAUGUGAUGCUGAGGCUCAAGACAUUCCGAUUCAUCCCUGCCAUUCGCCUGUUUGUACGCUCGUACACAGUCGAUGGGACUAAAACACAAUUCAGCAGAAUUGCAGAACACACCAUGACUGAACUGAGAUCAUCACAACAUAUAGUAUGCGCAAUUAACGACAAUAUUGCACAGCUGCUAGAAGCAAGUCGUUAUGCCCGUCGUGUUAAACCAGCCAUGCUUCGCAUGAUUGGUAACUACUGGGCUGGGAGACACCUGGUUUAAUGUAUGUUGUUCAGUAUUCAUUGUCUGUGUGAAUGAAAUAAAAAGACAUGUCAACACCGACACCUUAGUCAUUUGCGGUCGACUUUGCUUAUACAAUGGAGAAAAGCAACAAUACAGCGUGUUUCUCUGCUCCAAGACAUCGGUGGGGCCUUUCACACGGUAAGCAUGUCUGUUAUACCCAGCGCAUAAAUGUCUGUAUGUCAGUGCUGAUUAUACAAACACUGUUUAAAAUGUGACACAUAUGUUGUCCGAAAACAAAUCCUCUAAAUUUGCAAAGUUACUGAUUUAAAAAUAUAUUUUCGAAUUUUUAGUUGCAUGACAAACAUACGAUAGACUCUUGAGCGUAUUUAUUUAUAUAGCUACAUUCACAAUGGUAUAGACGUGCUAAAUAAAAGAGGCUCAAGCACCAAAACACUCUAAUGCAAGCCUCUAAACUGUAUGUUGAUAAGUGCAUAAAGUGUACCUCUACCUCUACAGCUGAAAACAGUUUGUAUCCGCACUCUGAGGCUCUGCUGAAUUGUUUUUAAUAUUGCGCUUUUUCACGAACUGCAGAUGAUGAAUUUCUCUUUAUUGGACAUAGUGUCCUUAAGCUAUUGUUGCUCAUACUCACUGAGUUCCCUAGCUACUUCUUUACUAUGUCAGUAAACUUUUUGAAAAGGAAGGCGUUGUAGAUUUAAAGAAACAUCCUAAUUGAAGCAAAGGCAAAAAAUCGGAAUGAAUUUUAUGUGACUGUUCAUAUUAAAGCCAACAACAAGUGAAAAUCCAAAACCGGCUCCAAUCCUUUGUAUUAAUGAUCUCCCCCUCUCUCUCUCUCUCUCUCUCUGUGUGUGUGUGUGUGUGUGUGUGUGUGCCCUCACAGAAGGAAGGACACAGCAGGAGCUUUUCAAACGCGUUUCCAAUCAUUUUUUACAAGAAGUGUAGCUCAUACGAUGGUAUAAAUGUAUUAUUUGUGAUACUUUAUAAAUAUGAAACUCUAAAGAUUUUGAGUUCAUGCAAAUUGUGAAACAAGAAUCUAAAUAUUUUGUGUCACAAUGAUUUCUAUAAAAGCAUGUUGUUUAUGGGGAUAAUGUAACAAAUCUUUUGCGGGCCCUAUUAAUGAUCAAUGGUGAUUGAAGAGGAAGCUUGAACCCAGGCUCCGGACAUCUUCAUGACAAGUGACAGCGCAGACAUCUGCUAAUGAGAGAACAUGUUUUAUCAUCAUAAACACGGUGAUAUGAAGCAUCGUUAAAGUGUCACUUCAGUAAUGUUUUAAUAGAUGUCUUUAAAACACUAAACUCUAAUUUCUGGGGCUUUAUUUUAAGCUUACAGAAUAUAACAUGUUGUAAGACGACGAGUUUUACUUCUCACAGGUUGUGUUAUGUGUAUCUAUUUAUCAUGUAUGCUACUUUGCUCUGUGGACUGUAAAAUGUUUCAUUGUGUUCAUAAAAUAAACCAAACUUUCGCCGUCUGAAUCUUUUACUGUUUUUCUGCUUUUGUUCACACCAAGUUUGACAAACCCACAGACAUCCAGAGUUAACUCGCUAACAAUGUGGAGCAGUCUCAGCGUAUUUAGCUGCUUUUUCCCUAAACACAACCAACUGAGAGAAACGCUUGUAGUCCUCACUUUGGUCAUUUGAACGCUGAAGGAGAUUUGCUACAUAGACACCUUAUACUAGUGUUUCCUGCACUUAAUCCAUCACUACUAUGUUCUAUUUAAAUUCAGAUUCCUUUUAUAGUUUGCAGUGAAAUUUCUUAAACCGCUGCUUAAUGUGACAGAAGUACACGUCACUCUUUACUAACACAUUUGUAGAUAAGUUAUUGCUGAACCACACAGCCAGCAGGCUCACACACUCUUUAGGUUUUUGAAGGUUUGUGUGUAAUGGUUUUAGUCUAUCAAACCUUAUCCUUUUCUCCCCAGUAUCACAACAGUAUGACUCCAAAGUACGGAUCAGUAAACAAUCAAUGAUUCUAAAGCCAGAACAGAAAGAUACAGUUGGAAGAUGCAUGAUUGCGUUUUUAUGAAGCGUAGUAAAACUGGCCCCUCUUCUUCUUCUCUGUGUUGUUGUUGUUGUUCUUGUGUGUGUGUGUGUGUGUGUGUGUGUGUGCGCCUUAGAAGUCAAAUAAUACAUUAGCCACACUUAAAAAAACAAAAACAUUUGAAUUUCAUUUAGAACUGAGAUUCUAAGUUGUAAGCAGAAAUCUUGUGCUCAGCCACAAACA
Molecule: long non-coding RNA, 3480 nt
Filed under: Oreochromis niloticus (Nile tilapia)
Lineage: Eukaryota; Metazoa; Chordata; Actinopteri; Cichliformes; Cichlidae
Description: lncRNA (ENSONIG00000030405.1)
Source: RNAcentral